This 854-nucleotide ribosomal RNA is filed under the name Erysiphe quercicola. Its description in RNAcentral is "eukaryotic LSU rRNA". It matches the Rfam family "Eukaryotic large subunit ribosomal RNA", at positions 95 to 963 of the family's 3401-position model. Lineage: Eukaryota; Fungi; Ascomycota; Leotiomycetes; Helotiales; Erysiphaceae. The record is from RNAcentral.
GAAGCGGUAACAGCUCAAAUUUGAAAUCUGGCUCUUGCGGAGUCCGAGUUGUAAUUUGUAGAAGAUGCUUUGGGUUGUGGGUUCGGCCUAAGUUCCUUGGAACAGGACGUCAUAGAGGGUGAGAAUCCCGUAUGUGGCCGAGGCCCGCGCCUAUGUAAAGCUCUUUCAACGAGUCGAGUUGUUUGGGAAUGCAGCUCAAAAUGGGUGGUAAAUUUCAUCUAAAGCUAAAUAUGGGCCAGAGACCGAUAGCGCACAAGUAGAGUGAUCGAAAGAUGAAAAGCACUUUGGAAAGAGAGUUAAACAGUACGUGAAAUUGUUGAAAGGGAAGCGCUUGCAACCAGACUUGGGCGCUGCCGAUCACCUUGAGUUUUCUCGAGUGCACUCGACAGCGCACAGGCCAGCAUCGGUUCGGGUGGCUGGAUAAAGGCCGUAGGAAUGUGGCUCUCUUCGGGGAGUGUUAUAGCCUACGGUGCCAUGCAGCCCAGCCGGACCGAGGACCGCGCCUUCGGGCUAGGAUGCUGGCGUAAUGGUUGUAAGCGACCCGUCUUGAAACACGGACCAAGGAGUCUAACAUCUAUGCGAGUGUUUGGGUGGUAAACCCAUACGCGGAAUGAAAGUGAACGUAGGUGAGAACCCCUUUGGGGCGCAUCAUCGACCGAUCCUGAUGUCUUCGGAUGGAUUUGAGUAAGAGCAUAGCUGUUGGGACCCGAAAGAUGGUGAACUAUGCCUGAAUAGGGUGAAGCCAGAGGAAACUCUGGUGGAGGCUCGCAGCGGUUCUGACGUGCAAAUCGAUCGUCAAAUUUGGGCAUAGGGGCGAAAGACUAAUCGAACCAUCUAGUAGCUGGGUCCUGCCA